Molecule: ribosomal RNA, 255 nt
Filed under: uncultured bacterium
Lineage: Bacteria
Description: partial 16S ribosomal RNA
Rfam family: Bacterial small subunit ribosomal RNA
Source: RNAcentral
UACGUAGGGUGCGAGCGUUGUCCGGAAUUAUUGGGCGUAAAGAGCUCGUAGGCGGUGUGUCACGUCGGCCGUGAAAACCUGCAGCUUAACUGUGGGCGUGCGGUCGAUACGGGCAUCACUGGAGUUCGGCAGGGGAGACUGGAAUUCCUGGUGUAGCGGUGAAAUGCGCAGAUAUCAGGAGGAACACCGGUGGCGAAGGCGGGUCUCUGGGCCGAUACUGACGUGGAGGAGCGGAAAGCGUGGGGAGCAAACAGG